AUUCUUCCCAACAAAUACAGUGAGGAAGGAAAAAAAAAGAAAUGUCCAGAACAAUGUCAAAGUCCAUCCUAAUGGAUUAUAAAGUAAAUCAAAAGAGUUCUUCUGGUGUAUCUGAUUCUGCUGGCCCUUGUUCUCCUAGUGCCUUUGAUGAUUCAGGAUCUCAGGCACACAAUACCAAAGUAGUGAUGAAACAAUUCUCAGAAUUAAAAGAAAUACUAAUGGGGAUGACGGAGAAAAUUGAAAAUAUAGAGAAAAGGAUCAUUAGAGUGGAAAGCAAAGUACUCCCACAUGAGACAGAGCAAGUGUUGCCACCGCCAGAUAAUAAUAAAAAAAUACAAACACAUGAGACUGUAACUACCUUACCCACACAGGUUAAAAUUGAGCCCAAAUAAAAUUGGAGUAUGCAAAUGUAAAAUGGACAGACCCAAAGAAAUCAACAAAAGAUCUAUUACUGGCUGUUUUUGGGAGAAGAAAGUUGGCGACACACACCUACACAGGGAAGUGCUUAAACGCCUUUAGGGGAAGAGAGGCCAAACCUCAGCUGGAUCCAGACAAAGUGUGUGACAUAAUAAACUACGUACAUCAGGAAAAAAUUUGGCACAGAUCUUAGACUAAUCAAACAAGCCAUUUCCCAAAAGUGUGCAUUUUGUUUUCUAGCCCUUGUUGCCUUGUUGUCUGUCAAUUUAUUUAUUUGCUUGCAUCAUUGUUUGUCUGUUUGUUAC
Molecule: long non-coding RNA, 722 nt
Organism: Trichomycterus rosablanca
Lineage: Eukaryota; Metazoa; Chordata; Actinopteri; Siluriformes; Trichomycteridae
Exons: 6
Source: RefSeq, a predicted model, not a curated record